UUGUUUUUAUCCUUUUUCCCAUCCUCUCUCUUUUCUCCCUUAAUUUCCACAAGUCAAAAAUGAUGUGCAGAAGAUUGUCCCAUUCUUCUUAGUUGGUGAUAGUUAUGGUACAUUUAAAACCAUCCCACAUGUUAGCCACCUCCCCCAUGGAACACAACUUUAAUAUCUCCUCUUUUAAUUACUCAUUUAUCCGAUUAAUUGCUCAUUUGACCAUUUAUAAAUUUAACAUUUUAC
RNAcentral lists this long non-coding RNA (234 nucleotides) under Panax ginseng (ginseng). RNAcentral's name for it is "long non-coding RNA (PGIN_LNC006127)". Lineage: Eukaryota; Viridiplantae; Streptophyta; Magnoliopsida; Apiales; Araliaceae. The record is from RNAcentral.